AGAGUUUGAUCAUGGCUCAGAUUGAACGCUGGCGGCAGGCCUAACACAUGCAAGUCGAACGGUAACAGGAAGCAGCUUGCUGCUUCGCUGACGAGUGGCGGACGGGUGAGUAAUGUCUGGGAAACUGCCUGAUGGAGGGGGAUAACUACUGGAAACGGUGGCUAAUACCGCAUAACGUCGCAAGACCAAAGAGGGGGACCUUCGGGCCUCUUGCCAUCAGAUGUGCCCAGAUGGGAUUAGCUUGUUGGUGAGGUAACGGCUCACCAAGGCGACGAUCCCUAGCUGGUCUGAGAGGAUGACCAGCCACACUGGAACUGAGACACGGUCCAGACUCCUACGGGAGGCAGCAGUGGGGAAUAUUGCACAAUGGGCGCAAGCCUGAUGCAGCCAUGCCGCGUGUAUGAAGAAGGCCUUCGGGUUGUAAAGUACUUUCAGCGGGGAGGAAGGUGUUGCGGUUAAUAACCGCAGCAAUUGACGUUACCCGCAGAAGAAGCACCGGCUAACUCCGUGCCAGCAGCCGCGGUAAUACGGAGGGUGCAAGCGUUAAUCGGAAUUACUGGGCGUAAAGCGCACGCAGGCGGUCUGUCAAGUCGGAUGUGAAAUCCCCGGGCUCAACCUGGGAACUGCAUUCGAAACUGGCAGGCUUGAGUCUUGUAGAGGGGGGUAGAAUUCCAGGUGUAGCGGUGAAAUGCGUAGAGAUCUGGAGGAAUACCGGUGGCGAAGGCGGCCCCUGGACAAAGACUGACGCUCAGGUGCGAAAGCGUGGGGAGCAAACAGGAUUAGAUACCCUGGUAGUCCACGCCGUAAACGAUGUCUACUUGGAGGUUGUGCCCUUGAGGCGUGGCUUCCGGAGCUAACGCGUUAAGUAGACCGCCUGGGGAGUACGGCCGCAAGGUUAAAACUCAAAUGAAUUGACGGGGGCCCGCACAAGCGGUGGAGCAUGUGGUUUAAUUCGAUGCAACGCGAAGAACCUUACCUGGUCUUGACAUCCACGGAAGUUUUCAGAGAUGAGAAUGUGCCUUCGGGAACCGUGAGACAGGUGCUGCAUGGCUGUCGUCAGCUCGUGUUGUGAAAUGUUGGGUUAAGUCCCGCAACGAGCGCAACCCUUAUCCUUUGUUGCCAGCGGUCCGGCCGGGAACUCAAAGGAGACUGCCAGUGAUAAACUGGAGGAAGGUGGGGAUGACGUCAAGUCAUCAUGGCCCUUACGACCAGGGCUACACACGUGCUACAAUGGCGCAUACAAAGAGAAGCGACCUCGCGAGAGCAAGCGGACCUCAUAAAGUGCGUCGUAGUCCGGAUUGGAGUCUGCAACUCGACUCCAUGAAGUCGGAAUCGCUAGUAAUCGUGGAUCAGAAUGCCACGGUGAAUACGUUCCCGGGCCUUGUACACACCGCCCGUCACACCAUGGGAGUGGGUUGCAAAAGAAGUAGGUAGCUUAACCUUCGGGAGGGCGCUUACCACUUUGUGAUUCAUGACUGGGGUGAAGUCGUAACAAGGUAACCGUAGGGGAACCUGCGGUUGGAUCACCU
RNAcentral lists this ribosomal RNA (1529 nucleotides) under Salmonella enterica subsp. enterica. Its description in RNAcentral is "bacterial SSU rRNA". It matches the Rfam family "Bacterial small subunit ribosomal RNA". Lineage: Bacteria; Pseudomonadati; Pseudomonadota; Gammaproteobacteria; Enterobacterales; Enterobacteriaceae. The record is from RNAcentral.